UCCUAUAGACACCCCUUUAAUCCGUCAAUCACAGACGUAACUCGAUUUUACAAAAUAGUCAAGAGUAUUCAAACCCACUUCAUUUAAAAAUCUCGAUUCACCAGUACAACACUGACUUCAGCAACGAUUGCCUCAGUCUUCCCAAAAUUCUACGAAGAAGAAAAAUCCAAAUUCUAUGUCUUUCCUUCCCCGACCCGAAGCAUGAAGCUCCUCUCUCUAAUUUCCUUGAUCUUCCAAAAACCUCCAAUGAAAAACCGAACUGGUAACCUUGCAAAAGCUUGAAAACUCGCUCCCCCCCUCCAAUUUCCCCGAAAAAAAACCUCCUCCUUUCAAAACUAUAUCCCUCCCUAACCUUAUCCUCUGAAUUUCUUCAAUCUUCCGUCUUAGAUCCGGAUUUGGCUCCUACCUCAAGCUUGGAUCCAAAAUUGGCUCUCACCGUCAAGCUUUCUCCUCCAUUUUUACCUUUAAAAAAUCCAUUUACCGAAAAUAACGUUCCCUGAAACGGCACAGAGAACAGGACAACCUGAAACAGAAUCGAAUCCCGUAAUGAGGACCACAUUGAGUCGCCCGACCAAUUCAGGUCCUAUAUUGGGAAAGAUGCCCGUAGUAACCUGGAUGUUCCCGUAAUUGGGUCAAAUUGGUCCUCAUGUCAGAUUGGCUAAGACCCGUUAUAAGACCUGGAUUUCCCGUAAUUAGACUGCAUUGGGUUGACCGGCCAAUUCAGGUCUCAUAUUGGAUAAGAGGACCCGGAUUGGAUUAUCGAAAUUGGAUCCAAUUGGCUCCUCAAACCCGUCGUGUGAAUUGGACCUUCUCUUCCUACUGACUCCCGUUAUUGGAAUCGAAUGGAGCAUUUGAGUAUGCCCCGGCUGACUGUAACGGAGUGACUGAACCUGACCACUCAGUAUUUGCACUGGAGUUGGUUGAUGCUCCCAAUAUUCGAGGUAACUGAAUAUUAAUAAAAUUCCCCUUUCUUUAUAUUUUCACUGUAUACUCGUGUUACAACACGACAUCCACCCCCUCUGAACCUGUGCAUCCUCCGGUAUGCACCAAUUUAUCCAAUUGCUGUUUGAUUCAGAAUAUAUCCCUAUGUCUUUGUCCAGUUUGUCUUCGUCACCUUCAUUAUCCAUAUCACUUUCAUCUUCUUGCUACGGAAUCUCUGUACCUUCAUUAAGGUCUUCUAUAUUCAUCUCCACGUGUCUUCGUUUAAAUAUUUUUACUCGCUUCCCUGCAAUUGGUAUUUUCAAUUUUGUACUAUCUAACUUUCUUAAUGAGUAAGUCGCAUUAUCAUGAAUAGUUGUUAUAACAUAUGGUCCAAACCAACGUUUUGAAAAUUUCCGCAAAGUACUAUGUUGAUUAUCCAGACUAUUGUCAUAAACAAGUACCAAGUCACCUUCCUCGAUUGCUUUUGGUCUCAAUCGAUGUUGCUUAUCGAAUCACGCCUUGUUUUGUAACCUUGCUCUUUUUAACCUUUCCAAUGCUAUCUGGACAUCUUCCGUUCUUUGCUCCAAUUGUCGAAUCCUAAUAGCCAGAAGUUCUUCUCUUGUCAAUCCAUCUUCCCAUGGUAGCAUACUCCAAGUAAGUACCUUUUCUUCAAUCGGAAUAAUUGGUUUUUGACCUUUCAUAAGUUCUACUGGCAUAUAUCCUGUCACCAAACUAUGUGUUGUUCGAUCAGCCCAUAAUGCAAAUGACAAAAGCCGUGGCCACUCUUUAACUUUCCCAUUACAAGCUUUAACUAAUGCUUUCACAAUCGGUGGGUGACCGCGUUUGCUUUUUGCAUUCCCUUUUGGAUUAUAAGCAGUAGUGAGUGAUAGUUUAACUCCACAUCUUUCAAAGAACUUACGAGCUUCUUGUGCAUUUAAUUCUCCACGAUCUGUAGUGGUUUUUCCUACGCAUCCGUAGCGGCAAAUGACAUCUUCAAGCAAAAACCUACAAAUCCCCUCUGUAGAUUUUGUCCUCAAUGCUCUUCUUUCUACUAGAUUUGAUAAAUCUUCACGAGCUAAAACCAAAUAUCUCAUCUGCCAUAACCCAACCGGCAUAAUAAUCAAAUCAACAACCCAUUUAAAAUGAAUAGCCAGAGGAUACGUAGGAUGAAGACCACCUCGAUGUUGGAUAUUAGAAUACGAUUGACAGAUUUCACAUGACUCUACAAAUGAGAUCACAUCUCGAUACAUAUUUUUCCACCAAUAUCGUUCCUUGAGUUUAGCAAAAGUAGCCCAGAUAUCUCUAUGCCUUGUCCAUAAACUAUCAUGAAACUCCUUUAAUAAUUUUAGUNNNNNNNNNNNNNNNNNNNNNNNNNNNNNNNNNNNNNNNNNNNNNNNNNNNNNNNNNNNNNNNNNNNNNNNNNNNNNNNNNNNNNNNNNNNNNNNNNNNNCAAAUAAUGACCAAUAUCCAAUAAUUCUCUUUCAUAAGAUUCUUCAAGAAAUAGCUUAUCUUCUCUGUUGAGAUUCGAUGUUGAAUAGAAUUUCAAUCCGACAUCAUCAAUGUCUUCAACCAUUUUGUCCUCCCUCUCGUAUCUUGCUCCUGAUAGCAUGUUUGCUAUUAAAUUGUCCUUUCCAGUGAUAUGCUUAAAUUCUGGAUUUAGUGACUUAAUAUAAGCAAUCCAUCUCAACAUUGCAAUAUCUGGCGUUGAACAGUUAAUAAUCAUUCCAAGCAAUGGCAAGCAAUCUGUUUCAAUUACUACUACUGCCCCAAUCAAAUAGUCCUUUUCAGCUUUCAUAGCCGAAACGACUCCCCAAAGUUCUCUUUUGACUUGCGAAUAUGCACGCUGACGAAUACUUAAAACUUUAGCCCCAAAUUGAAUUGCAAAUCUACUCCCAUUUGAAUCAUCUUGAUCCACAGUCCAUCCAAUGGCAAUUGGACUAGCGUCCACAGUAAGAAUCACUAGUCUAUUGCACUUAUAAUCAACCUUCCUCAAUAUUGGAGGUGACAUCAAUAAUUUCUUCAAUCUUUGCAUUGCAUGAUUAUGCCUUUCUUUCCAUUCAAAUCGGUAACCCUUGCGUAACAGUUCAUAUAAUGGAUCCGCUAUGUGAGCAAAAUGAGGGAUCCAGAUUCGAUAAAAUACACAUGCACCCAAAAACCUGCGAACCUUUGUUAAAGAAUCUUAAUCCUCUUUCAUCCUUCCAAUUGCAUCAACUUUAGUCGGAUCUGGUUUUCUUCCAUAAGAUCCGCAUAAAUGUCCAAGAAUUACAACCUCUUGCACUCCAAAUACGGACUUCAUACCCGAUAAUGUAAGAUGAACUUCUCCAAGCCGAGUUAAAAUCUUUUCACAAUCUUGUAUAUGAUCAACAACAUAUCUGCGACACCCCCUCGUAUCUAAAGUUUCAUCCUUGUCUCCUUCUUUGCACCCUUUUAUAGGAACAUCAUCCAGAAAAGGCAUAGUCUUUUCCGGAAUAAAAUCUCUCAAUACCUUAUUCAUCCCAUUCAUCAUAUGCGCAACCGAGUUGGUCGCGCCUUGAAGAAGAGUGCACAUUCUAACCAAUCCAAGCGGUGUCCUCAUCGUUGUCAUAUCUCUACUUCUUUCGGCAAGUUGAAAUUGAUCAUAACCUGAAUACAAAUCACACAUUGAGUAGAUCGCCCUUCCAGCAAACGCCUCAGCAAAUUCAUCCACAACAGGUCCAAUUCCUGCAUUCCUGAGAGUUACAGCAUUCACCGGCUGCAUAUCUUGAAUAAACCGUAGUGACCCAUUCUUCUUAAGUACCGUAAACCAUCGACUAGAAUACGGCGCAAAUAAAGGUUCUAAUAUUUUCAUCUUUAUCUUUUCUUUCAAUAGUUCGACCAAUUUAGGUAAAUGUGCCCUCGGUACUCGAAUCGGUCUUAGAUUCCAAGGUACAUGCGGUACAGUGAAGAUAACCAUAGGUGUUAUAAUAUUUGGAUCCACACACCCAAUUUCAUGAGAUUCGAAGGCAAACGAUCUACCUUGUUUAGCCAACAUCUUUUUGAAGCAAGUAAUUUCCUCCGGCAAUAAAGAACCAUCAGAACCAAUCUUCAAUUCUUCAAAAGUCUCUUCAGUAAACUGAUGUCCAAUACUCAUUGGAUCUCUUAAACUUGCUUCUUUUGAUGCUUCUCCCAUUUGUUCUUUAGAAUCCUCUGGUAAUGGUCCGACAACAGGCUUUACCUUCUUAUCUGCCGUUUUAUAUCUCGUCUCUACAGUGACUUCUGGUGCUUGAAAAGAUUCAAGCAUGGUAUAAACCUCUCUUGAAUGAAUCUCAACAAUCUUAUCAUUAUCCCCUAACCCAAUAGAUGUAAUCAAUUCCAAUGAAUCUUCCAGCCCAUUUUCUUCAUAAACACCCAAAAUCCUCCCAUCAUCUUGCAAUGUACCUAUCUUGCGUAACUGUCCUUCAAUAUCAUAUAAUCUUUUUCUUUCUUUUCUUUUAAAAUCAUCAACUUUCUUAUACAUAAUAUUUCCAUUCUCCAAUAUACCAAUAAAACUCGCAUCAAAGGCACCUUCAUCUCGCGAGAGUACCUCCUCUUUUGUACCUCCAUAAUCUCGCUUUAUAGUAGUACCUCCCCAAAAUCCUUAAAUCCUUCAACAAUCUUUGGCAAUGGUUUCUCCUUCAACCUAUCCCGAUUCCGUUCAUGGUUAAGAGAUACUAUUAGAAAUUGUACAGCUUUCCUUCCAUCUUCGCUCUUUACCCUUGCAUAAGCAGAACCAUCGUCAAGUACCUUUGUUUCCAUCCGUAUUGCCGUGAUAUAAGGUUGUCCUAAAAUCAACGGAUAAGACGUUUUAUCUUGAACGAAGAAAUAUUGCUCCGUCGCAACAUCCCCAAUCCAAAUUUUGACAUCUAGACAAGCUCCAUAGAAUUUGCCUCGUGUGUUAUUAGGUGCUCGUAAUUCCCAUCCAUGUUCUAUAUCAAUUGGCCAUUUUUGCUUCUUAUAAAGAUCUUUAGACAUGAGAUUUAUUUCAGAACCAUGGUCCACCAAGGCAACUAUUGGUUCAUCUAUAUCUCCUACCUUCACCAAUACCUCAGUAGUUGCCCUUGCCCAAUGCUUUCGAAUAUAAUGGCUCAAAGUUUCCAUUUCCUUGUCACUAAAAUCUUCGAAAUGUACUGGCUGAUUAUACCCAUUCUUUUCAUUUGUUGGUUGCUUGUAACCAAUAUCAACCUCUUCUUCAUCUCUACAUAUUCUUGCAUCAAUAGUAUGACUCAUUCCAGUUUCGCUCAUUAAUUGCCUCUUUCGCUUGAUGUUUUCAAUGAUAACAUCAUAAAACUCCUUCUUUGCAAUUCCCAAAACUUCUUUUAAUGUGAAUUCCACUUUAGCGUUUAAUAUACGUUCUUUCAACACCCCUUUCAAAUUUGUUGCCGCUUCAAUAUCAGAAAGUAGCUUAUAAGCAAUUGAUUUGCCCUUAUCUUUUGUCUCCGUUGUUUUUUCUCCCAAUGAUGCUGAGAUAUCCUUUACAGGCAAUUCUUGUGAAGCUGCCUCUCGAGCCUUGUUUCCUCGAGUUUGCCUCUUAGAAGAAUUUCCUUCUCUAGUAUCAUCAAAAUUUCCUCGUCUUUUUUCUUCCAUCAAAGCUUCAUGUUGGCUCUUAGCAAUAUAUGCAUGAACUGAAAGAGACUCAACAGGAUCCUCCCAACCUGUUCUUCCUCGUAUUAUAGCUGCAGUUCUCAAUAACGCUUCUCGAGGUAAUUUCCCUUCUUGCAUUGUAGAAACGGCAGAAGUCCAAAACUCACUAGUUUCCGUACUUCGACCAAUUUCAUCAUCUACUCUAGCACCAUAACUUGCACUUUCUCGUACUACUGUUUCAUGCUCUUUUAAGUAAUCUUGAACCAAUGCUCUCAUUCCUCCUUUGCCAAAAUUGGUUUGAAGAAGAUCCUCCCUAUCUUUUAAUGCUAUCUUCCCAUCUUUCCAGGAAAUAAUUCCUUGCCGUAUCAUAUUAUUAAAUUCAUUGCAAUCUUUUCUAGUGUGUGAAGCAUCAUCACACCAAAUGCAUCUUUGAACAUAUCCUUGUUUUGAAACAUUCUUCGAAUUGUUUAUAGAAGUAUUCUCUUCAAGUCUUGUGAAUUUGAUUUGAAGAUCUCGCAUUCCUCGUAUAAUUUCUUCUAUCCCCAUAUCUGCUUUCUUUGAUAAGGAUGACGAAGGUUGAACUGUAGGCAUUGUUGGUGGUAUUGUACGUACUGGAGCUUUGGGUGCUUGUACUGUUUUCUGAAUAUUGCUCCUAUCCUUCCUCCUUUCUUUUUUUGUAAGCAACCCCACCGCAUCUUCAACGUUCUUCCACUUCGUUGUCAAUCCUUCAUCUUCUUCUUUGUCUUCAAGAAGGGGUUCUAAUUUCUCUUGCAAUUCUCCAUCAGCAGCUUGAAGAAAUAGAUCAACUUUGUUCGGCUCCAAUGUCAAUUUUUCUACCUUCGAUAAUUGAGAGUACUGCCUCUCAAAUUCCCUUAGUAGCUCUGUUGCUUGCAAAUUCUUAUUGGGCCGUUCAAUCUAUUCCAGAAACAGCUUCUUAGUAACGCGAUCAGCAUCUUCCAAGAAAUAUUUGUCUUUCAAUGCAUGUGAAAAAUCCUCCCAUGAAUUCCCACAACGAUCCGUAAUCGAUGUAAUGUGGUCCCUUAUCUCCGGUAUUGUGGCAAGUCCAAAUAGUGCAACCAUUUUCUUCUCAGAAACCUGAUUUAAUUCCAUUUUACAAACAUAACAUCUUAAAUACCUUGAAAUAUUCCUCCCAUCAAAUUGAUCAAUUUUACUGACCACUGCUUGCAAUGCUUUGGUUGCCAAAGCUUCCUUUCGAUCAUUGCUUUGCUGUUGCUGCAUUGACAAUGGGAAGGCUUGAAACAAACUAGCAAUAGACGGAUCCAUGUGCAUACCUUGUCCUGUAGAAGAUUCCCCACCAGAAACUUCUCCCAAAAAUCCUUCAAAAUUUUUAUUUUUGUUUUCCAUAAAAAUAAAGAUAAAAUCAACCGAAAUCCAAUACCUUCAACCUCAAGCUUUCACGUCGGGUUCACCACUUAUGUCGUAUUACAUGCUUUCCUGCUCGAGAACGUGCCGGGCGUCUAGCUGUAGAAGGUAGUAUGGAGAUUUGCCGAUAGUCAAGCAGUCUAUCAGUUUUUGACUGCUGGAAUAUAAACGACUGCAACAAUGUACCGUAAAUCUAUACGGAUGCUCUUCGACUGCUUGUCAAAGUCUUUUUUUUAUUUUUUUAUUUAUUUAUUUAUUUUUUUUUUUUUUCCAGCCGAUAGGUCUUUAGACGUUACAGAGAACUCCGAACAACCCAAACUGUUAAUCUUCAAUACCCCUUUGUACUUACGAUCUUGUAUCCACUGACUGUCCUAUUAGAUUAACCCAAUAAAUUUCAUUCACUCCGCAUACUCAAUCCUAUAGACACCCCUUUAAUCCUUCAAUCACAAACGUAACUCGAUUUUACAAAACAGUCAAGAGUAUUCAAACCCACUUCAUUUAAAAAUCUCGAUUCACCAUUACAACACUGACUUCAGCAGCAAUUGCCUCAGUCUUCCCAAAACUCUACGAAGAAGAAAAAUCCAAAUUCUAUGUCUUUCCUUCCCCGACCCGAAGCAUGAAGCUCCUCUCUCUAAUUUCCUUGAUCUUCCAAAAACCUCCAAUGAAAAACCGAACUGGUAACCUUGCAAAAGCUUAAAAACUCGCUCCCCCCCCC
Molecule: long non-coding RNA, 7597 nt
Filed under: Physcomitrium patens
Lineage: Eukaryota; Viridiplantae; Streptophyta; Bryopsida; Funariales; Funariaceae
Description: long non-coding RNA (PPAT_LNC010127)
Source: RNAcentral